This 818-nucleotide long non-coding RNA is filed under the name Phaseolus vulgaris (common bean). Its description in RNAcentral is "long non-coding RNA (PVUL_LNC002044)". Lineage: Eukaryota; Viridiplantae; Streptophyta; Magnoliopsida; Fabales; Fabaceae. The record is from RNAcentral.
GCAAUACUGUCUCUAAGCUUGCCAUCUCAAAUCUCAGCUGAUACCUACUUGUACUCAUCACCUCCUCCUCCCAAGAAGCCCUAUUAUUAUCACUCUCCUCCACCACCUUCACCUCCUCCACCUAAGCCAUACUACUAUCAUUCACCACCACCACCUUCACCUCCUCCACCCAAGCCAUACUACUAUCACUCACCACCACCACCUUCACCUCCUCCACCUAAACCAUACUACUAUCACUCACCACCACCACCUUCACCUCCUCCACCUAAACCAUACUACUAUCACUCACCACCACCACCUUCACCUCCUCCACCUAAACCAUACUACUAUCACUCACCACCACCACCUUCACCUCCUCCACCUAAGUCAUAUUACUAUCACUCACCACCACCACCACCCAAAAAGAAGCCAUACUACUACCAUUCUCCCCCACCACCUUCACCACCUCCUCCUAAGCCAUACUACUAUCACUCUCCCCCACCGCCUUCACCUCCUCCACCUACGCCAUACUACUAUCAUUCUCCCCCACCACCCUCACCACCUCCACCUAAGCCAUACUACUACCAUUCACCACCACCCCCACCGAAGAAGAAGCCUUACUACUACCACUCUCCACCACCACCUUCACCUCCUCCUCCAAAGAAGCCAUACUACUACCACUCCCCACCUCCUCCCAAGAAGCCCUACAAAUAUUCAUCUCCCCCACCUCCAGUGCACCCUUACCCUCAUCCUCACCCCCAUCCCCAUCCACACCCCCACCCUCACCCUCCCUACGUUUACAAAUCUCCUCCCCCACCCCCUAAGAAGCCAUACAAGUA